UGUUCUGGAUGGAUCUAUUAUGUGGAAGCCAGCUUCACUCAGUUUUCUGGACUCAUGUCCCUGUCUCCAACCCAGUGGACUUCAGGAAGGACAACCUACCUGGCCUGGUGGGGCUGGCAGGAGGGUGGAGGUUUCUCGAGGAGCUGGAAGCCUCAGGGAGCCCCUCUCAGGAGGAGGAAAGAGCUUCCAGAAGGUGGACGCAGCACAGUGAAAGAGGCCCGCUCCACUUGCCUGGGAACCUGGGCAGGAGGCACAGAGGAAGCCAAGGCCUGGAGCUGCAGGACCACAGCACUUCUCCCUGUCCUGGCAGCCCAGGAAUGGCCUGGUGCCCCCACCUGCUGCAGCAGGAGUCCCAAGAAGUGCUGGCCAAGGGCGGUUGCUGGGGUGGUCCUCAUGGACAGUGAGGUGUGCAAGGGUGCACUGAGGGUGGGGGAGGGAAUUACCUGGGCUCCAGGCCGUCCUUACUGAGCAUCUUUGAGCUGCCUCCCUGUGGGAGCAGAAAAGGCCAGACCCUGCUGAGUUAGAGGCCCCUGGGAUCCACUCUGUCCACACAGCAGGAAGGCUUCUGGGCACGGGCAGCAGAGAAGUGCCAUGGUUGAGUUGAGCCUUGCAGCUCUUCCAGCUGGGGACUGGCGCUUGCUGAAACCCAGGAGCUGAGCAGUGAGGAGGCUGUCCGCCUUGCCUGGCUCACUGGGGCCAGGAAAGCCUGUCUUUGGUUAGGCUCAUGCACUUCCGCAGGGAAAGAAACAAAAAGAAUGUGUCAUUGUCAUGAUAUUUGAAAAGGGGAGGAGGCCGAAGCUGUUCACAUUUACCCAGUAUUGGAAAAUAUUUGACCCCCUUGGCUGAAUUCUUUUGCAGAACUACUGUAUGUCUGUUCACUACCUUUUCAGGUUUAUUGUUGUGAUUUUUGCAUGAAUUAAAAUGUUUUAAGUUCUUUGCAGACAAGGUCUAGAUACGAAGUCAGAGAUGGGAUUGAAUGGGGAGGGAUUCUUUGUGUUCUUAUGUUUGGCUCUGACUUUCAGCUGUGCUGGGACCACUGGCAGAUCACAUCACCUGUCUGCCCCAGUUUCCCCAUCUGUCAAAUGGGAGACUAAUACUUGCCUACCUACCUCACAGAGGUGUUGUGAGGAUUCAUUCGUGAUUUUUUUUUUUUUUUUUGUACAGAGCUUUUAAGCAUUAAAAAAACAGCUAAAUGUGAGU
Saimiri boliviensis boliviensis (Bolivian squirrel monkey) is the source of this 1200-nucleotide non-coding RNA. The record is from RefSeq and is a predicted model, not a curated record. Lineage: Eukaryota; Metazoa; Chordata; Mammalia; Primates; Cebidae.